This 63-nucleotide transfer RNA is filed under the name Dipodomys ordii (Ord's kangaroo rat). It matches the Rfam family "tRNA". From Rfam's summary of the family: Transfer RNA (tRNA) molecules are approximately 80 nucleotides in length. Lineage: Eukaryota; Metazoa; Chordata; Mammalia; Rodentia; Heteromyidae. The record is from Rfam by way of RNAcentral.
GGGAGUGUGGCUCAGUGGUAAAGCGCUCACCUUAUAUGUGAGAGGCCCUUGGUUCCACACCCA